GUCACUGGUAUGGAGGCUGUGUCCCUUCAAAA
This 32-nucleotide non-coding RNA is filed under the name Mus musculus (house mouse). The record is from RNAcentral. Lineage: Eukaryota; Metazoa; Chordata; Mammalia; Rodentia; Muridae.